This 320-nucleotide ribosomal RNA is filed under the name uncultured bacterium. RNAcentral describes it as "bacterial SSU rRNA". It matches the Rfam family "Bacterial small subunit ribosomal RNA", at positions 29 to 334 of the family's 1533-position model. The record is from RNAcentral.
AAUGAACGCUGGCGGCGUGCUUAACACAUGCAAGUCGAGCGCGAACGCGACUUCGGUCGUUAGUAGAGCGGCGAACGGGUGAGUAACACGUGGACAACCUGCCUGAAUGUGGGGGAUAACUUGAGGAAACUUAAGCUAAUACCGCAUACGGUCGAAGGGUAUAGGCCCUUCGAGGAAAGAUCGCCUAUCCUUGGAAGCGAUUGCAUUCAGAGGGGUCCGCGGCUGAUUAGCUUGUUGGUGAGGUAAUGGCUCACCAAGGCGACGAUCAGUAGCCGGCCUGAGAGGGCGAUCGGCCACACUGGAACUGAGACACGGUCCAG